AGACCAGAAGCCGAAUCAUCCAAAGCGGGUGCAGUAUGUGGAGAAAGGGGUGCUUGUCUCCUCCGUUUUCUCCUUAGGAAGACUUCACUGUUGGAGACCUUUCUUCUGAGUGCUGCCCUGGGGUGCUGUUCAAAAUCCAGGCGUCUCAUGAAUUAUGCUGCCAGAUCUAGGAGGAGCCAGUCCUCUUUGGAACUAGGUGAACUGGGCUAAUGAGAAACAGGCCCAUCUCAUCCGCCAGCCAGUUUGCUCCAGGGCCAGAGGAAAGCCGGGGCCUCUGGCUCCCACAUCCCAUGUGGCAACCAACCAUCAGGUUAUGCUUGGCUUUGCAACCAUCAGGAAAGGCCUCACGUCUGCCUAACUGCAAAACAAUUUGGUUGGCUUAUAAAUUGCUGCCUCUAUCAUGUGCUUCUGAAUUAAAAGGAACGGAUGGUUUUUAAAGGUUUAUCUGUUUCAUUAUUGAUGCAGAAUGACCUCGUGCUGACAAAUUUCGAUUUUCACACGGUUUCUUUGCUGAUGCAGUAUCUCUGCCACCCAUGCUCUAGGGCAGCGUGGAGCCACUUCAGAGCAUGGCUUUUGUGAGCCAGCGCCCAGCAGGGUGUUCUUUUCUGAGUGCAAAGAGAGAAUCCACUGACCUCAUUUGCUUCCAUCCUGUGAACCUCUCAGUGUGUUUCAGAACACCAGGGUCUGAACAGAGAAGCUUCAGAAUACUUUCUCCGACUAGAGAACUUUUUUAUGGUGGGAGGAAAAAAUGUUGCCAGUCCCACUUCACAGACACCUGGAAUUCAUGAAGUCUGAGGACUUCUUUCAUUUUACUUUCAACUAAAAGCUCUAGCACGAAACAGCAAAGGCUCACAGAACUAAAGAUCAGGAGGUGGCCCUGUGAGAGGGUGUUCAGCCUGGAUCCCUGGUGAAACUCCAUCAUUGAGCAGCAUAUCUACUUCAGAAAGCGUGGAAAGAAAAGAGCCUGGUGGGAAAAGUCUAUCAAGUGAUAGUGACGUGCCCUUAUGGAAAAAAUUCUGGGAUAACACCCUCCAAAACCCCGCAAGGUGAAGCUCAUGUCAUCCAAAACCAAGGCAUGAGCCAGAGCCUAAAUAGAGGAAAGAAAAUAGAAGAGAGAAUUCUAGCGACAUAUCUGGUCAUCAUUCCAAGCAACCUGGCUGAACUUUUGCAUCGACAAACAAUUUUUUCUUGAGCAUUUUUAAAUUUACAAGCUGGUUUUCAACAAAGCUUUUCAAAAAGAAGUCUUUAUGAUGGUAAAUCUUUAAAAGAAAUGUGUUUUAGACCAAGAAAGGCAAACCUUUCAUGUCCUGUUUAGUCUCUAGCAUGCUUGUUUUCAAAACACAAGCUCCAGUCUGCAUGUUUCUGCAGUCAACUGUCUGUCUUAGAAAAUAUCUCAAAAUCAAUCUGUCCCCGUGUUUGCUUAUGAUUCUGCGGUAAUCCUCUGUUUGUAGUCACAAGUUGUCAGGAGAACAUCAUGUAAGGCAUGGUAUGAAGACUUAAGAAAUCUUGAAAUCAGAAACUUCAAUUUUCUUUCUCUUGAAGUGUUUCUAAGGGAUGAAAAAUGAGAAAGGAAAUUAGCAUCUACUGUUACCUCAUUUAAUUCCUUCAACCAUCUUCAGGGUAUUAUUGUCUCCAAAAAGAAACCAAGGUUCAGAGAAGAGGACUCACUUGCCCUGUGACCUAUGACCAGGGGUCCCACGUUGGGACCCAGAAUUCUGACUCGAACCCAGUGCUGGCUCCCCUGUGUCCCAGGGAUGGGCAGGAUAAGAUGUUCUUUAAAACUUUGUUUGUUGGGCACCUCAAAAAACCCUUAUGAAUUAUUGCUUAAGUUAUUUUGGCAUAAUAACGUCACUAAGUCCAUGGAAAAUUAAACUUUUAGAAUCUCUGUUAUAUGGCUAGAUCAAUACUAAACUACCCCUUUUUUUCCAAGUCCCUGGAAAAAGUGAAAUUAUAAGUUUUGACUACAUGGGAGGGCUUUGGUGCCUCAUACACUUGCAUUAAAUGCAGUAUCCUUGAAAAUAAUAGAAUAUGUAUUUGUGAGAGUAAAAAUUUAUACAUGCAGCAGUCCAUAAGAGAAUUAGAUCUAGAAAGUACAACUUGAAAGAGUUCUAAACUCUUAGAACAAAUUGAUUUAAAUUUGAAUAGUACUGAAUAUGAAUUGAUGGAAAGUGAAUAUUUAGAACCCCCUUUUGUGAAUUUCAGUAAGCUGACAUUUGUUAGCUCCUGACGCAGUAGCUUUUCUGAGUCAAGAACUGAAGGUACCUUGAAUUACCUGACAGAUAAUCAUACAGAGAUGUGAAGUCAAAUGUCAUAUUCCAUUAAGCCUAAUCUGCAGUUGCAGGAAGGGUGGACAAUCUUGCCUAAACAUUUGACAGAUUUGGAAUGUCUCUUGCCAUAGACAUUUAGCAUGAACCAGCUUCAUUGUCCUAGUAUCUGUCACACAGAAAUGGUCCCUUGCUCGGCUUCUAAUGGAUUUGCUGCAAAGGCUGUGAGGAAUGAGUCACACUCAGGGACACGAUGACACAGGAACAGCUUCUACAACACAAUCCUCUGCAAUAGGGAAAGCUGUGCCUCUCCCCAGGGACCUGCCUAUAAAGUUGGUCUUCUUUCCACUAAGGAGGCAUUCCUGAGAGCCCCCCAUAAAUUAAGGAGAACUUCUCUAGGUAACUACUAAAAAAUAAGGCCAACAAACUAAAUCCUUGGGAUAUGAAAUAUUAAUGUGAUGGGAAUUACCUUAAUAGGAAACAAUUGAGUAUACACUGUAUUACAUAAGUGAGGCUUAAAAAAAAAAUAACAUUGAGUUCCGGGCAUUUUUUUUCUUCCUUGGAAAAUGCCUUGAAAUCUUUUCCAUCAACACAGUCUAACAGUACAGGUUAUGGGUGACAUAUAGUUUCAAGGCAAAUUGCAGCUUAGUUGGUCAAACUCUUUCAGUAGGAAAAAAAAUGACAAUUUGAAAGAGUUCUGGAAGGGCUAACACUAAACAGUUCCAUCUUGACCUCAAACCAACGCAAUCUGCAAACAAGUCAAUAUGUGAACCCAAAGGAAGAUUCUGCCCCAGCCUAAGAAAGGGACAACUUUUCCUUCUCUGGAAUCGAAAUGUUCCAUGAAAUUAAAUCAUUGAUUAAAAGCUGGGGAGGCAAAGACUGUUGAAAUGUCAGUUAAGAUACUUUAGGCUGCAAAUCUGAUUCACCAUUGCUUAAACGAUAAGAAAUGGUAUCUGCACAGCUGGAAGUCCAGGAUGGGAUGGCUUCAAGUUUGGCUCUAUCCAGGGACUGUCUCUCAAUCUUCUGUUUAGUGGGUGUUGUCCUAGGCUGGCUUCACUCAAGGGGAUAAAAAUAAGUAUGGUCCUCCCAGGCCUUAUAUCCAUCUACACAACAUCCUGGGGAAGAGGUUUCUGGAACCUCUAGUACUAAUCCAUAUACCAUGGGAAUAACAGGUACUGAUUGGCUUCAACCUGAAUUCCUUAAAUUAAUCUUUGUGAAAAGGAGGCUGGGAUGACCUUGAUUGAGUUAAAAUAGUCAGGGUUCCACCUGUGGAGUGGAGGAUGAGAUCAGUUUCCUACAAUCCACAUCCUACACAAUGGGUGAGGGAUGGAAGGAAUGCUGGAGACUACCACAUACCCGCCGAUAUUCAUGAUAUCUUGGUCUUUUGUGUUUCACAAUAAACUCUUAAGAACAUUGUGA
Homo sapiens (human) is the source of this 3683-nucleotide long non-coding RNA. RefSeq lists it as uncharacterized. The record is from RefSeq and is a predicted model, not a curated record. Lineage: Eukaryota; Metazoa; Chordata; Mammalia; Primates; Hominidae. The transcript has 3 exons.